RNAcentral lists this ribosomal RNA (253 nucleotides) under uncultured bacterium. Its description in RNAcentral is "partial 16S ribosomal RNA". It matches the Rfam family "Bacterial small subunit ribosomal RNA", at positions 524 to 776 of the family's 1533-position model. The record is from RNAcentral.
UACGAAGGGAGCUAGCGUUGUUCGGAAUGACUGGGCGUAAAGGGCGUGUAGGCGGUCGUGUGCGUCAGAUGUGAAAUCCCUGGGCUUAACCUAGGAAUGGCAUUUGAUACGGCACGACUAGAGAUGUAUAGAGGGUAGUGGAAUUGCGAGUGUAGAGGUGAAAUUCGUAGAUAUUCGCAGGAACACCAGUGGCGAAGGCGGCUACCUGGGUACAUACUGACGCUGAGGCGCGAAAGCGUGGGGAGCAAACAGG